GGUCCAACGCGAGUAACAGCGUCCCCUGCGCAGCGCCACUGGCAGAGGAGCCGGAGUGGAGUUUGCAGGGGCCGGGGGAUAUGGGCAAGAGCAACCCAAGGAAGAGGGGACCCGUGCAAAUGAGGCUCAGCAAACCAGGGUGGAAGUGGCUCCUUGACAGCAGUGGCUGUGGCAAGGAGGGUGUCAGGAGAAGGGAAAUGGCCUUUGCCGGGCGUUAACCGGCUCAGAGCCACAUUCAGCCCCAAGUUGGCAGCACCGGCUUGGCAAAUGGACUGUUCAGCUGUCCCCCUUUGCCGUCCGGCUCCGAAAUGCUUUUCUAGAGCCCUAGGCCAAGACCAGUCACUCUGCCAGAGGUACAGCCGGCCGAGUCCAGAGUCACUCCGCCAGAGGUCCAGCCGGCCGAGACCAGAGUCACUCCGCCAGAGGUACAGCCGGCCGAGACCAGUCACUCCGCCAGAGGUACAGCCGUCCGAGACCAGUCACUCCGCCAGAGGUACAGCCGGCCGAGACCGGUCACUCUGCCAGAGGUACAGCCGGCCGAGACCAGAGUCACUCCGCCAGAGGUACGGCCGGCCAAGACCAGUCACUCCGCCAGAGGUACAGCCGGCCGAGACCGGUCACUCCGCCAGAGGCACGGCCGGCCGAGACCAGAAUCACUCCGCCAGUUACAGCCGGCCAAGCCCAGAGUCAGUCCGGUGGCGCCUGCUGGAGGCUCUGGAGCAGAACACAGCAGGAGUGGGGUGGCUGGCAGCGGUGCUACCCAACAGUAAAGGACGGGAAGUGAAGCAGACCUGCGCAUCCCUUUGACAGUGUGGCGAGUCAGACAGGGAGCCAGGGUACAUGGGGCUCCCUCCCUGUCCCCAGCAAGCCAGGCAAGAGGUUCUUACAAGGGGCACCAAAGUGCACUGGCAUCCCCCCUUCCCUCCAGGGCAUGUGCCUAGAGCUCCGAUUUCUCGGGCGCUCCUCGGCUCUGCUGCCCUGAAGGGGAAGGGGCUGCGGACCUGGGAUGCCAGAGGCUCCGGGCAUGAGGAAUCAGCUGUUUCUCCAGAGGCGGUGGGCUGGGGGCGGCUAACCCAGCUCUUUCCCCCU
This is a non-coding RNA of Pelodiscus sinensis (Chinese soft-shelled turtle), 1089 nucleotides long. NCBI's taxonomy places the organism in Eukaryota, Metazoa, Chordata, Testudines, Trionychidae. The record is from RefSeq and is a predicted model, not a curated record.